GUGCCCUAUGAAGCUUACGUGAAAUUCAUGUACCAAAGCAUGUUCAUUUUGACAGCUGUAUGUUGUGUUCAUUGUCUAGAUAGAUAGAUAGAUAUCAUACCUGUGAAACAAGAUGGUGCCUACAGAAAAAAACUUUCAACAACCGCUAGACAAUUUCAAUAUUGGGACUCAUUUUGGAAAGUUUAUGAUCCAUGAAACGGAUCAAAUCCGCUCAUCAAUGGAAUAAACGGAACCAAAACACUAUUCUAUUCCGCGAAGGCGAGAUGAACCUGGGAUUAUAAAUUAUAAUGGCAAAGGUGCAGCUCUGGACUACCAACACAUUCAUGGCCAAACAAAACCAACUUGCGCUCCUCAAAACAACUCACGAUACAACAAAUAAAAGAAUCAACUAUAUAUGCAAUAAAAAACGCUUCAGCAAUGAUUAAUUUGAAUUAUUUGAACAUAAUUAAGUGUUCACAUAUGAUGGAAAUCAACUCGAAACAACGUAAUAUAUUUCUCAUUACUUGGUACAACGCACUCGAUUUUCAUCUACGUUCUACAAAUGCAUUCUAUCAACCGUACCAAAAAAACACGUAACAACUACCGAUCACGUCGAUGGAAUGAAUGAAGUUCAUCAAUUCAUGAGUUCAUUCAUCUUCACCUUCGAUUCACGUAAGUGCUACGUGAAAAGUGCGAUGGAAAAAAAACUACGUAUGUUUUCACGUAGCCUUGACGUGUGGAUUGUUUUG
Molecule: long non-coding RNA, 728 nt
Organism: Aedes aegypti (yellow fever mosquito)
Lineage: Eukaryota; Metazoa; Arthropoda; Insecta; Diptera; Culicidae
Exons: 3
Source: RefSeq, a predicted model, not a curated record